Molecule: transfer RNA, 75 nt
Filed under: Pseudolabrys sp.
Lineage: Bacteria; Pseudomonadati; Pseudomonadota; Alphaproteobacteria; Hyphomicrobiales; Xanthobacteraceae
Description: tRNA-Asn
Rfam family: tRNA
About the family: Transfer RNA (tRNA) molecules are approximately 80 nucleotides in length. Their secondary structure includes four short double-helical elements and three loops (D, anti-codon, and T loops).
Source: RNAcentral
UCCCGAGUAGCUCAGCGGUAGAGCGUUCGACUGUUAAUCGAAAUGUCGCUGGUUCGACCCCAGCCUCGGGAGCCA